RNAcentral lists this ribosomal RNA (449 nucleotides) under uncultured bacterium. RNAcentral's name for it is "partial 16S ribosomal RNA". It matches the Rfam family "Bacterial small subunit ribosomal RNA", at positions 29 to 523 of the family's 1533-position model. The record is from RNAcentral.
AACGAACGCUGGCGGCAGGCUUAACACAUGCAAGUCGAACGAGAUCUUCGGAUCUAGUGGCAGACGGGUGAGGAACACGUGGGAACAUCCCUUUCAGUUCGGAAUAACGUUGGGAAACUAACGCUAAUACCGGAUACGUCCUUCGGGAGAAAGAUUUAUCGCUGAAAGAUUGGCCCGCGUCUGAUUAGCUAGUUGGUGAGGUAAUGGCUCACCAAGGCUACGAUCAGUAGCUGAUCUGAGAGGAUGAUCAGCCACAUGUGGACUGAGACACGGCCCAAACUCCUACGGGAGGCAGCAGUGGGAAAUAUUGGACAAUGGGCGCAAGCCUGAUCCAGCCAUGCCGCGUGAGUGAUGAAGGCCUUCGGGUUGUAAAGCUCUUUUAUCCGGGAAGAUAAUGACUGUACCGGAAGAAUAAGCCCCGGCAAACUUCGUGCCAGCAGCCGCCGUAA